GUCGCUGAGUCUUGUGUAGGCUCGGAGGCGCAAUGAAAGUGAAGGCCGAUCUGGGCGUCGGCUGCGGUGUGAUCCAUUGGGCACUAUCCCGUCGCUCCCCAAGGGAAGGCGGGGCCCGUGGCGCAACACCGGCCCGUCCCGUCCGCAACGUCGGUGGGGCGGAGCGAGAGCGUACACGUUGGGACCCGAAAGAUGGUGAACUAUGCCUGGGCAGGACGAAGCCAGAGGAAACUCUGGUGGAGGUCCGCAGCGAUUCUGACGUGCAAAUCGAUCGUCAGACCUGGGUAUAGGGGCGAAAGACUAAUCGAACCAUCUAGUAGCUGGUUCCCUCCGAAGUUUCCCUCAGGAUAGCUGGCGCUCGAGGGAAGCAGUCUCAUCCGGUAAAGCGAAUGAUUAGAGGCCUUGGGGCCGAAACGACCUCAACCUAUUCUCAAACUUUCAAUGGGUGAGAAGUCCGGCUUGCUCGACUGAAGCCCGGACGUCCCAGGAUGCGAGUGCCCAGUGGGCCACUUUUGGUAAGCAGAACUGGC
This 530-nucleotide ribosomal RNA is filed under the name Ricinoides feae. RNAcentral's name for it is "eukaryotic LSU rRNA". It matches the Rfam family "Eukaryotic large subunit ribosomal RNA", at positions 690 to 1154 of the family's 3401-position model. The record is from RNAcentral. Lineage: Eukaryota; Metazoa; Arthropoda; Arachnida; Ricinulei; Ricinoididae.